RNAcentral lists this long non-coding RNA (1612 nucleotides) under Rattus norvegicus (Norway rat). Its description in RNAcentral is "long non-coding RNA NONRATT001337". The record is from RNAcentral. Lineage: Eukaryota; Metazoa; Chordata; Mammalia; Rodentia; Muridae.
AUUGUUCUAGGUUUCUAGCUUAUCCCAGGGAUGCCCACCCCCCAUUCCAGUUUUCUCUCCGAGUACUUUCCCCCUUCAUCCUCCCCACACCUGAUCCCUCCUGUUCCCAUCCCCCCUCUGCACCCCCAUCCACCACACCACAAGAACACUGCUCAGCUAUGUUCACAACAGCUAGAAACCGGAAACUUUUUAUUUUACAUACAUGGAUGUUUUGUCUGCAUAUGUGGCAUGUAUGUAUGUGUGAGGGUGUCAUAUCCUCUGGAACUAGAGUUACAGGCAGUUGUGAGCUGCCAUGUGGGCUCUAGGAUUGAACCUGGAUCCUUUGGAAGAGCAGCCAGUGCUCUUAACUACUGAGCCCUAUCUCCAGCCCUGACUACUCCCCACCCCCCCAAAAAAAAAAUCUUAAAAAACCAAUUCUCUGAUGACCACUUUUGCUUAGAAAAAUAGUUUUGUUUUUUCAGAUGACGUUCACACGGCCUGCCAACCACAGACAACUCACUUUUGAGGAAAUUGCCAAAAGUGCCAAGAUCACUGUCAACAAGGUGGAGCUGUUGGUGAUGAAGGCACUCUCGGUGGGGCUGGUGAGAGGCAGCAUAGACGAGGUGGACAAGCGGGUUCACAUGACGUGGGUGCAGCCUCGAGUGCUGGAUUUGCAGCAGGUAAGGGGGCUGAGCCCCUGCCCUUUGUGGACUUGGGUACACCAGUGCUGUCCUAGUUUUAUGUGGACGGAAGCCACUUAGGAAGCGGACACUGUCCCACACAAGGUGCUGCAGAUGGGAUUACUGCUGUGGGGGCCUAGGGGAGCAGCCCUGAGGCCUGAGCCCUGCACUUACAGGCUUACUGUGACAACAGUGCUGCUGUGCUGCUGCUGCCUCCUAAUCCUCAAAUUGGUGCUUGCACAGACAUGUUCCUGGUUUUGUGAUUUGAUCCCACGCCCUAUCAUAUUUUCCGGACAUUUAAUCCUGUGAUUUCCUCCAUUCUUUUUCUUUCAUGUGAGUUUUUAGAAUGUCCUCGUGAUCAGAAUUGGCACGGUGAUUCCAUCACACCCCCACCUUCAGCUCUGUCGCCCUUAGCAUUUCCCCAAAAGGCAUUAGAGGUUUAGCACUCCCACACAGACUCCCGUGCAGCCUGACACCCAUGUGAUCCUGACUUGCCUUUAGAUCAAGGGGAUGAAGGACCGUCUGGAGCUCUGGUGCACUGAUGUGAAGAGCAUGGAGCUGCUGGUAGAACACCAGGCUCAAGACAUCCUCACCUAACGCCCCAGGGUCCUGCAGACCCGCCUCACCCUGCCUCACCCUGCAAGGUGACCCCCGAAACCAUCAGCAGAGAUCUGUAUUCAUUUGGGAUGGAGUUUGGGAUCCUGCUAGGAGUGGGAACUGUUCUUGCUAUAAAUGCAGAGAUCUGUCACUGAUGGGGGUGUGACUACUUGGAGAAGGCUCCUGUGUGGGGUCUUUUGUAGCCCGCAAGCCGUGGGAGGGGGGCUCCAGGCCUAGGUGAUGAGGAAGGGCAUGAAUGGGAAUGGGGACAGAGUAGUCUCCACCCAAAUCCACCUGAGUGGACCUUUCCAGUGUGGUCUGAGAGUGCUUCUAUAAUAAAUGCCUUUGCAUUGUUC